Molecule: long non-coding RNA, 1317 nt
Organism: Cucurbita moschata (crookneck pumpkin)
Lineage: Eukaryota; Viridiplantae; Streptophyta; Magnoliopsida; Cucurbitales; Cucurbitaceae
Exons: 4
Source: RefSeq, a predicted model, not a curated record
AAGACAGUAUUCUUUGAUUAAAAACCCAUGAUCAUUUUCUAAAUUAGCCGAUGUGGGACUUUCAUCAUCCAACAAUUCUUACAGAGUUCUGGAGCCUUCGAAGUAUAUUGCAAUGGUGAAAUGGUCUUUUCGAAGUUGAAGGAGCAGUGAUUUCCUAGUGAGAUCGAGUUGAGAGAUGUUAUUGGUAGGAAACUUUCUGGGUCGAGAUUUGUCGACAACUCGGGAGGAUUUUGGUCAUAGCCAAGCAGGAGCAUGUGGGAGAGAUAGAUCCAGUUUCAAUAUGCCUAUCCUAAACAUAAUCCCUGGCUAGCGAAACAGUUUGAAGCCUGCUGCGCUACCCAAAGUAAGCCGCCGAUAACCUUUUUGGCUGCCUAUCAACAGGUACUAGACUUUGCUGGUGAGCAGACCAUUGGUAUCAUUUACUAGUAAUUUCGGAAAUGUUUGCUUAAAAAUGAUCUAAUGAGUAGUGCAGUAGAGAUUAUAAUAACAACAUCUAGGUUUUUAAACUAAAAAAAUUUAAAUUUCAACUUUAUUUAGAAUUCACAAAUCUAUGAAAAAAAAUUAAAAAAUUUAAUCUUUUAUUAGACACAAUAUUUAGUUUUAUGUAUAAUUAAUUCGUGGAGGACUCAUUUGACAAUCUCUAUAUACAAAAUUAUCUAAUAUUUUUUUAUAAGUACAUCAAACUUUAGUGAUUAAUUUAUAAUAUAACUAAGAAAAUUCUCACCAUGUACAAUAUUUUGAUGAUGAAUAUAGAGUUAGGCGUGUUUAAUUCUUGUUCAUUAUAUUUUUUCCCAUCAUCACCUACUGAAACGAAUAAACUGAGAUACAAAAUUCAAAUUAUUGGCCAAAAUGAUUAUGUUGAAGCUUUUCUAUUUGAGAAAGUAUAUGAAAAGUUCUUGUUUUCGUUACCAAAUAAAUUAUAUGCAUGCAUGUACGUAUAUAUGCAUGAAAAGAUAAACGGUAUGUGCAAAACUGGGAUACUGAUGAAAAAAUAAACACAAAAUUUAAAAAAGAACAAAAAUAUGUAUUUUUAACAAGCGUCAUGAAAUCCAUUCCAAGGCCUAACUUUCCGUUUCUAAGCAAACACAUCAAAAUCCAAACGAAUCUAACCUUAAAAAUCUCGCAGCCAAAAAGAAAAAAAACAAAACAAAUAAACACACCACCAAAACUAUAUGAUUUUUUUAAUUAAGUUUUAAACGUUACAUUCAAAUUUUGUUGGUGAAAUCUCACCUCAGAAAUUAUCCGUGUUUAAGAAAUGGCCAGAAAACACCCGUAGCUUUUUAAAAACGCAACUUUUUUUUUUUUUUUUUUUUUUAA